This 468-nucleotide ribosomal RNA is filed under the name uncultured bacterium. RNAcentral describes it as "partial 16S ribosomal RNA". It matches the Rfam family "Bacterial small subunit ribosomal RNA", at positions 28 to 507 of the family's 1533-position model. The record is from RNAcentral.
GAUGAACGCUGGCGGCGUGCUUAACACAUGCAAGUCGAACGGUGAAGGCGGAGCUUGCUCUGCUGGAUCAGUGGCGAACGGGUGAGUAACACGUGAGCAAUCUGCCCCUGACUCUGGGAUAAGCGCUGGAAACGGCGUCUAAUACUGGAUACGAGCUGCGGAGGCAUCUUCAGCAGCUGGAAAGAACUUCGGUCAGGGAUGAGCUCGCCGCCUAUCAGCUUGUUGGUGAGGUACCGGCUCACCAAGGCGUCGACGGGUAGCCGGGCUGCGCGGGUGACCGGCACCACUGGGACUGAGAUACGGCCCAGCCCCCAACGGGAGGCAGCGGUGCGGAAGAUUGCACAAUGGGCGAAAGCCUGAUGCAGCAACGCCGCGUGGGGGAAGACGGCAUUCGGGUUGUAAACCUCUUUUCGCAGGGAAGAAGCGAAAGUGACGGUACCUGCAGAAAAAGCGCCGGCUAACUACGUG